AACCAGCACCUCAAGUGGUCAGGAUGAUUAUUGGGCCUAAAGCAUCCGUAGCCGGCUCUGUAAGUUUUCGGUUAAAUCUGUACGCUCAACGUACAGGCUGCCGGGAAUACUGCAGAGCUAGGGAGUGGGAGAGGUAGACGGUACUCGGUAGGAAGGGGUAAAAUCCUUUGAUCUAUUGAUGACCACCUGUGGCGAAGGCAGUGCUCUGGGCCGGUACUGACGCUGAGGAGCGAAAGCAUGGGGAGCAAACAGG
This 253-nucleotide ribosomal RNA is filed under the name uncultured archaeon. Its description in RNAcentral is "partial 16S ribosomal RNA". It matches the Rfam family "Archaeal small subunit ribosomal RNA", at positions 474 to 727 of the family's 1478-position model. The record is from RNAcentral.